Molecule: ribosomal RNA, 253 nt
Filed under: uncultured bacterium
Lineage: Bacteria
Description: partial 16S ribosomal RNA
Rfam family: Bacterial small subunit ribosomal RNA
Source: RNAcentral
UACGAAGGGGGCUAGCGUUGCUCGGAAUUACUGGGCGUAAAGCGCACGUAGGCGGAUUCUUAAGUCAGGGGUGAAAUCCUGGAGCUCAACUCCAGAACUGCCUUUGAUACUGGGAAUCUCGAGUCCGGGAGAGGUGAGUGGAACUGCGAGUGUAGAGGUGAAAUUCGUAGAUAUUCGCAAGAACACCAGUGGCGAAGGCGGCUCACUGGCCCGGUACUGACGCUGAGGUGCGAAAGCGUGGGGAGCAAACAGG